RNAcentral lists this transfer RNA (61 nucleotides) under Pseudoniphargus sp. 1-Basque. Its description in RNAcentral is "tRNA-Pro". Lineage: Eukaryota; Metazoa; Arthropoda; Malacostraca; Amphipoda; Allocrangonyctidae. The record is from RNAcentral.
CAGAGAAUAGUUUAUUUAAAAUAGUAAGUUUGGGGCUUACCGAAGAGCUUAUUUUUUCUGA